This 446-nucleotide ribosomal RNA is filed under the name uncultured bacterium. RNAcentral describes it as "bacterial SSU rRNA". It matches the Rfam family "Bacterial small subunit ribosomal RNA", at positions 330 to 792 of the family's 1533-position model. The record is from RNAcentral.
UCCAGACUCCUACGGGAGGCAGCAGUGGGGAAUAUUGCACAAUGGGGGGGACCCUGAUGCAGCGACGCCGCGUGGGUGAAGGAGUAUUUCGGUAUGUAAAGCCCUAUCAGCAGGGAAGAACAAUGACGGUACCUGACUAAGAAGCACCGGCUAAAUACGUGCCAGCAGCCGAGGUAAUACGUAUGGUGCAAGCGUUAUCCGGAUUUACUGGGUGUAAAGGGAGCGCAGGCGGCGCGUUAAGCCUGGUGUGAAAGCCCGCGGCCCAACCGCGGGACUGCAUUGGGAACUGGCGCGCUGGAGUGCCGGAGGGGUAGGCGGAAUUCCUAGUGUAGCGGUGAAAUGCGUAGAUAUUAGGAGGAACACCAGUGGCGAAGGCGGCCUGCUGGGCUUUUACUGACGCUGAGGCUCGAAAGUGUGGGGAGCAAACAGGAUUAGAUACCCGGGUA